This 77-nucleotide transfer RNA is filed under the name Fluviibacter phosphoraccumulans. RNAcentral's name for it is "tRNA-Pro". It matches the Rfam family "tRNA". Rfam says of the family: Transfer RNA (tRNA) molecules are approximately 80 nucleotides in length. Their secondary structure includes four short double-helical elements and three loops (D, anti-codon, and T loops). The record is from RNAcentral. RNAcentral also lists the same sequence under 3 other names. Lineage: Bacteria; Pseudomonadati; Pseudomonadota; Betaproteobacteria; Rhodocyclales; Fluviibacteraceae.
CGGCGUGUAGCGCAGCCUGGUAGCGCACUUGUCUGGGGGACAAGGGGUCGCAGGUUCGAAUCCUGUCACGCCGACCA